Molecule: long non-coding RNA, 7481 nt
Filed under: Ananas comosus (pineapple)
Lineage: Eukaryota; Viridiplantae; Streptophyta; Magnoliopsida; Poales; Bromeliaceae
Description: long non-coding RNA (ACOM_LNC043985)
Source: RNAcentral
UCUAAGGUUUCUAUUACCUUAGGAUCUCACUCAAGUCCACUGGCUUCUAAGGUCUCUAUUACCUUAGCCCAAGCCUCUAUCUCUAGCUCAUAAGGGUUCCACUACCUUAUCGAAGCUAACCACCCGACUCGGCUUCGAGUCAAUCAUCCGUGGAUAGUCCGCGAACUGGCUGCUCAACAGCCUACCGCUCUCCAUGACUUAGCCUCUUAGCGGCGAAAUCGUCGCACACGCUGAACCCGGCUCAAGUCCCUUGACAUAGCCAUUCUGGCGGCGAACACGUUGCACUUACCCAGCGAGGACUCAAGACAUGACCUAUCCAUUUGGCGGCGAACUAAUCGCACUUCACCCAACAAUGGUUUCAGUCACCACUCAGCCACCUGGCGGCACCCGUAUCAUACUUACCCAGCAAUGGUUUCAGUCAAUCCCGGCGGUCUGAUCCACAAUCGGCUUAACCAUCCGGUGGCGAAAUUGUCGCACACGCCACGAUAAUGGUUCAAGCCCCGGGCGGUGAUCUCUGCGCGCUCACCCCCAAUCCAUCCUUGGUAUCAAUCUCGGCGGCGAAAUCGUCGCACACGCCCUAGCCUUGAUACCAAGGUCAUCACAGGUCCUGGGAUUUCGAAAUCUACUUUUCACAGGUCGAGGGUCCAUAACCAACCCUAUGCUGUCGACCUAGAACAUCAUAGUGGCUAAUACCACUAUACUCAACAACCUAGGUUUAACUUCAUUCUAGGUUUAUCACAUACAUAACUUAGGUAAAACCGCUAGGUUCUAUCUCAUCUCUGCCUUGAUGUCAACCUCUAGGUUCACUUGUUCGACCUAUGUUUACUAACACUAGGUUCGAUGCCACACACCUAGAUUUGUUCGACUCUAGGUUCAAGUACGACCUAUGUAUUUAAACACUAGGUUAGGUGCUACUCGAUCUACUUGACAUCCUAAUUGUCUAAUCGAGUAUCAUAUAGCUCUUAUGUCAAUCAACUCUAUUCACUCUAGAGUUAUCACCUAGUUCACAUGCAUAUCUACCUAGCAUAUUCUCACAAUGCUAAUCAUGCAUUCUAUGAUCUCUAUAUCAUUUUAUAUGCAUCUACUUAGCAUCUUAUACAUGCAUCAUCUAUGUCAUUUUGUUAUCAUGCAUCAAUGUGAAUUUGUAUGUUUCUUAGACAUAAAGGCUGACCUAGUCGCUUCGGUAAGCACAACCCACCUUAGCUAGCUUUCAGAUUGCUCGUCGACACUUGAAAUCGGCCUCCCGCGGCACUCGGCACCCGAUUUGGCCCGACCUCGCAGUUGCGCUCCAACAGCGCGUCACUUCGCAGUUUAGAGAGCUAAAGGUCUUCGCCUCGCCGUUACGGUGCUCGAGACCCAAUCUCACGAUUUAUGGAUGCCGCCUCAGCCCUCUUGGUCAAAACGAAGCUCGCUCGGCCUUACUUUGCUGAUAUCUUUUCACCCGCUCGACGAAUGCUCAAUCCGUCGCUUUCCACACAUUUAGACACCUAACAAUUAGGUUUACAGAGGGUCAAAUGAGAUCAAACCCUCAUAAAUGCCAAAACUCCAUUUUGAAUGCCCUAGAAGCUACUAUAGCCAAAUCCACCAAAUCGAUUAAUGAUUUAGGCACAAUACAUCUCAAUAGCAUGCUACGGUCCCAAAUAAUCCAUCUUUAGAGAUUAAAAACCCAUCUCUAAAGAUCUACCAUGAGAGAGCUUAGAAGCUUUCCUCUCUAAAGAGCUCCAAGGUGAGGAGAGGAAGAGAAGAAGAUGGAGAUGAUCUCCUCCAAGCUCUACUCCUUCUCCUUCUUCUCCUUCCCUUCUCUUUUUCUUCAUCUUCUCUUCUCUUCUCUUUUCCUUUCUUUCUUCUCUUUUCUCCUUCACGUACAGAGAGAGAGGGAAAGGGGUGAGGGGAAGUGAGGGCGUGAGAGAAAGAGAGAGAGAGACCUCUCUUAACCCCUCUCAUGGCCAUUUUGCACAUAAACCCCUCAACUUUCCACCCUUCACACUGCCCUCACUGGGCAAAACCCACGCGGAGGGACCAGUCUCCCCGACAUGGGACCGGUCCUAGAGGACCUUCCCAUUUUCCACGCGUUCGGGAACCGGUCUCUCCCUGAGAGACCGGUCCCCGAGAGCUUGUCUCGCGGGACUUAGCCAAUUUUUGGCCAUUCUCGCUGGUAUCACCUGCGGGGACUGGUCCCUCCCUGCCAGGGACCGGUUGCAUCAGCAACCCCACAACCCUCAGCCGAUGGGACCGGUCUCUCCUGCCAGAGACCGGUCCCCGAGAGCAAAUCUGCUAAAGAUGCAGAUUCUGCAUCUUUGCUAUCGCGGACUCCAUUCCAAUACACUUUUUGGGUUUCGUGCAUCCUUAACUUCUCCGAAGAGUACACACUCGACCAUUAGUUGAUUCUGGAAGAAGUGCAACUCUCAGAUUUUGAGAAUUCACUUUGUUACAUUCUUCCCUCCUUAAAAAGAGUUUCGUCCUCGAAACUCACUCAUUCAUAACUCCAAUUCACCCCUCAAUUCAACUCAUUACUUAAUCGAGGGUUCCAAUGCACUUUCGCACGCCGGAGUGGCCUUUUCCUCAUCGGAAUCAUCCAAAGGCCCACUACGGAAGAUGUGAGACCAAAUUCACUCACAUUCGCCAAAGAUAACCUCGAAAGUGCAUUAUGGCUUCACGAGCCUCGGUGGUAGUGCAAGUCAAUAUUCAUGACUUCACACACUCUAGCACCACCCGCUGUUAAGCUUAAGAAGGAUUCAACCCCUCACAGUUCUAUUAAACAUCACCAUCCCUCGAGAUCAGGACUACCCUUUGUCCUUGUGGUGUGGAUCUAGCAAGAUCGCAUCAACUAGACGAGCGAUCCACCACCAUAACACUAUGUGCACGGGUAGACCCUCUCGAAUUACUCAAGCAUUCACAAAGUGGCACUCCACUACUUCGGCUAUUCGAGAGCUCGAUACAACUCCUCUUCGUAUUUCUCGUCACUUCAGGGAACACACUCCGAUCUGAUCACCGGCAUUGCCUAGAAGCAAUAUCAUUGCUGUCUCGACCCAAUCGCGAGUGCUUCAAUCCCAAUCGAAUCUCUGCUCUCUCACGAGAUUGGUACACUCCCACACAUCUCUGAUUUCAAUCAUCUUGAGAGCAUCAUUCUCAAACUCCAAUCCUCGCGUGGCUAUCCAUUAUUCAAGUGUCUCCUAGAGACCACUUUACUUUCUCUCUAUCCUUGAUACAGUAAGCCACGAUCAGCUUCCAUUCGCUCUUGCAACGAAUUUAUACGAACCCGCCACCCGGGGUUCAGGCCAAAACUCACUAACAGAGUUGUCGGCCGCACCGACCGUCUGUUUGCAUAGGUGGACCAAGGGCCACCAAUCCUACGCAGGUCUACUGCCUAGACUCGUCUAAACGAUGCCUAGCGUCUCUCGCUCGCAAGCGCAGACCCAAUCAUCAUCGGGCGACAUUCUCAUUGGAGAAUUCACACACACUCCAACCAGGAGCAACCAAGACCCCAAACCACGUCAAGUCCUCGGGUUGGGUCACUACACACCCUGUGUGUCAUCAAUCUCAUGAUCUAACACGUGGCAUUCCACGUACUCGGGUCCAAGCUCGGACUACCAUCCUGACCAACAUUCUGCCCUACUUAUAGGUACCGGGCCGCUGUCUCUCACAGCUGACUGCGCCUGCCCGAUGGGCCCAGGCUCCACAGUCCACAGAUAGUCCAGGCACAGGUCGUCCCCAAGCGCUACCCACCGUCGUCGUCCUACACGACAUGCUCUACAGAGCUACACACUCUAUCGGCUCCUAGGCACCUAGUGCGAGCCACCAGCCCCCACGAGUGAUCCACGGCCCACUUCACACUUAGCAAUGCUACAGUGCUACUGCCAACUCACUCAUCAUCGGCUGAAUCAAGUCCGCACUCUACGGGUAACCAUGCUCGAGUGCUCUCUAUGCCAACAUCUAAUAUUAGGCGACUUGCCUAAGCGCACUAGCCACGUAUGCACAACUCGUUCACCUCAAUUCGAGGUACUACUAGGCCCACAGGCCAAACUCGGCACUAAUCAACCAAUUUCGUAACAGUGGUUCACCUUUACUGUUCGAUCCACCGAAUCCGUGUCCGAGAUACUCUUGGAAUAUUCGGGUAUCCCCAAACAUCAAGGCUCAACUCUCACAAUCUCUUAUCCAUUGCUUCGAGAGUCAUUUACUAGGUCACGUUCGCCACGAGUCCUAUUUCCUAUUCGAGAAUCAUCACUAGCAUUUGCUAGAAUUACUUGGCUCCCUACCUACCCCAGCAGGUGCUAUACUCUCACAAUGCAAGCAUGCUCGGGUGUCCACCUACCCGACCACUCGGUUCCUACUAUGCAACGCAAUAAUAGUAGCAACUGACCAAUGACGAAUGCAUGCCAUGCACCAACUUGAGAUCAUGCAAAAGUAUAUGCUUGCUCAAUUAACUCAUACAUGCCAUGACGUCGUCAGCAACGGCAGGCCCCGCAACUCGGGUCGCUUAUCCAUGGCCACUAGGCGCUCGCCGUGAACCCUCCGGUUGCAUCGUUCUCAACGGCCGCUCCCCGACCAUGCCGCAGGUGGCACACCUGCAGGCCGUCCCGGAGAGGAAUAGGCCGUCGUCAGUGUCAAGGCCUGGCUAUCACCUUGCGGACACGCGUCCCGCAUAUGGCCCGGCAGCCCACACUUGAAGCACUUGCCCUCUCGCUGCUCACACUGCUGUGGGUGAUAAGGGUCCCCACAAAUCACACAUCUCGCCGAGAACCGAAUGCGGUAUGUCCCCGGAGCUUGAGAUCGAGAGCGCGAACCCGAUGAGGUCUGUUGGGAAGUUGACUGACCAGCAGAUCCACUCGUUGGUCGUUCUUUUCCUUUCUCCUCGUAAUAGGCCUCACGCCUCUCCCGCAGAGAUGCCUCGCCUUGUUCUAUCCACAAGGCCCGAUCUAGGACUUCGGCGAAAGUCUGCAACUUCAGUAACAGCACAGGCUUGUAAAGGUCUGACCGAAGUCCUCGCACAAAGCAGUCGGCCUUAUCCUUGUCAUCCCGCACCACGUUCGAGAUACAAUGCACGUGUAAUACACUGAACUUUUGCAAACUGCGGANAGUCCACGCACAAAGCAGUCGGCCUUAUCCUUGUUAUCCCGUACUACGUCCGGGAUACAAUGCACGAUACGGGAGAACUCCCGCUCAUAAUGCCUGGUCGAGCGAUCUCCUUGCCGCAGCUUCCGAAAUCUUUCCUAAAGCUUCCGCUUCUCACUGUCGGGGAAAUAAGCAGAGAAUAACAAACCCCGAAACUCUUCCCAAGUCAUAGGAGGGAAACUAGGCGAUCGAUCUCGCUUGACGCCUUUCCACCACACCUUCGUCGAUUGUUUCAGAUAGUGCACGGCUAGGUUCACCUUAUCUAGCUCCAACGUGUACAGAUCCUCGAAGAGUGUUUCCAUGGAAUUGAUCCACAUCUCAACGACCCACGGAUCUGCAUCCUCUCCAUCAAAGGUAGGCGGAUCAAACUUCUUGAAAGCCAUGAGGGCAGCCAAAGCUCGCUCUCUCUUCGCCACUACCUCUAGACUAACAGAAGUCGGGUCGCCCGACCCCGACGGAAACAUCUCCGCCUCAACUCCCGGCCGUUCUCGACGAGCCGCAGCUGGUGUUGUCACCAGCCAGUCCACGGUUUCCUAGAGUCGUUUCAUUCGCUCCUCCUGGCGCAUGGCAGCCUCUUGUUGCCGUUGCACCACAUCAGCCUGUUGCCUCACCACUCCCACGAGUGUGGCCAACUGAUAACGAAGCUCUGCGCCUUCUCUCGCGUCGACUUGCUCAGGAACACCACUUGUCCCCUCCCACGCCGAUCUGGACGAAGAUCGCCUACGCGGUGCCAUCGUUUUCUGAAACAGGACAACUCGAUCAGCUCUCGACCAUCUGGGUCGAACACGAGACCACUAACACCGACUUAAAAGUCAAUCUGGCGAAGGUCACGCAAGGACGUCUAUUCUGUCACUCGGCUUCAUGUUGUGCGCGCCCAACAUGAACACUCUUGGUCGAGAAUAAACCGUACCUUGAGUCUACCUCUAAUAUCCGUCUUAGAGGUUCCGACACAACCCAAUCCAUUAACCUUUCGCCACGAAUCGCAAGUCCUAAUCUCUCACGAGCCUUAUUCUCCUAUGGUUUCACUAUCCUAGGGUCUCCUAGGCCUGUCUAAAUUAUUUUUCCAUUCUCUACUUUAUGCUCUGAUACCACUUUAUCUGUCACGUGCCGUAACUGCCCGCCUAUUUGGCCGGGUCGCGGCGCCGCAAACAGACCGCCGAACGGACAGAGUUUCCUCUAUACGUCCUAGGCGUCGCAAUCAAAACAGUGAACGAGUGUUCCAAUUAACCAAGAACUGAUAUCAAUCAAGAUUGCAUAAAGAAAUAUCAAUAACAUAAAACUAACUGGUAUUACAAGCAUUCAUUUCAUGCACUUUAUACAUCACGUUUUUCUUUUACAUUUGCUUAACUUCUAAAUACAAUCACAUUAUUACAUUUAAUACAAGUUGGUUGUUGCCAUUCCAUUCUAACCACUAGGCCCUGCUGACUCGGGGUACUGCUAGCUCUGGUCUCUGGGGUAGGGCGCUAUCUACGGAGCUAAGCCCUUUCCUCGCGCCGCCACGCCGCUCACGUGCGAACCUGUAACACCCCAAAACAGCGUGGGGUCAGAACCAACUCCAUGGUUUCCAGUGGGUACGGCCACCCAAGGAAAAAGCUCGACCAAUAGGUCCGAGGAGGCACUGCAACAUGUUAGUUCAACAAUAUACAAUAGAUAUAUAUAUUCAAAUUGAAAUACAUGCCAUGCCUCACAAUAUGCGAUAUGAAAAUCAUGCAACUCUAUGCAACAACUAGUAGAUCAAUUGAUUCUACACUUUACCUGGCUACUCUUAGCUCAUAUCAUUCACUCUAAGGUUUCUAUUACCUUAGGAUCUCACUCAAGUCCACUGGCUUCUAAGGUCUCUAUUACCUUAGCCCAAGCCUCUAUCUCUAGCUCAUAAGGGUUCCACUACCUUAUCGAAGCUAACCACCCGACUCGGCUUCGAGUCAAUCAUCCGCGGAUAGUUCGAGCACUGGCUGCUCAACAGCCUACCGCUCUCCGUGACUUAGCCUCUUAGCGGCGAAAUCGUCGCACACGCUGAACCCGGCUCAAGUCCCUUGACAUAGCCAUUCUGGCGGCGAACACGUUGCACUUACCCAGCGAGGACUUAAGACAUGACCUAUCCAUCUGGCAGUGAACUAAUCGCACCUCACCCAACAAUGGUUUCAGUCACGACUCAGCCACCUGGCGGCACCUGUAUCGUACUUACCCAGCAAUGGUUUCAGUCAAUCCCGGCGGUCUGAUCCACAAUCAGCUUAACCAUCUGGCGGCGAAAUCGUCGCACAUGCCACGGCAAUGGUUCAAGCCCCGGGCAGUGAUCUCUGUGUACUCACCCCCAAUCCAUCCUUGGUAUCAACCUCGGCGGCGAAAUCGGCGCACACGCCCUAGCCUUG